RNAcentral lists this ribosomal RNA (762 nucleotides) under uncultured eubacterium WD253. RNAcentral's name for it is "bacterial SSU rRNA". It matches the Rfam family "Bacterial small subunit ribosomal RNA", at positions 9 to 764 of the family's 1533-position model. The record is from RNAcentral.
GAGUUUGAUCAUGGCUCAGAUUGAACGCUGGCGGCAUGCCUUACACAUGCAAGUCGAACGGCAGCACGGGGGCAACCCUGGUGGCGAGUGGUGAACGGGUGAGUAAUACAUCGGAACGUGUCCUGUAGUGGGGGAUAGCCCGGCGAAAGCCGGAUUAAUACCGCAUACGAUCUGUGGAUGAAAGCGGGGGAUCCUUCGGGACCUCGCGCUACAGGGGCGGCCGAUGGCAGAUUAGCUAGUUGGUGGGGUAAAGGCCUACCAAGGCGACGAUCUGUAGCUGGUCUGAGAGGACGACCAGCCACACUGGGACUGAGACACGGCCCAGACUCCUACGGGAGGCAGCAGUGGGGAAUUUUGGACAAUGGGCGAAAGCCUGAUCCAGCAAUGCCGCGUGUGUGAAGAAGGCCUUCGGGUUGUAAAGCACUUUUGUCCGGAAAGAAAACCUCGUGGUUAAUACCCGUGGGGGAUGACGGUACCGGAAGAAUAAGCACCGGCUAACUACGUGCCAGCAGCCGCGGUAAUACGUAGGGUGCAAGCGUUAAUCGGAAUUACUGGGCGUAAAGCGUGCGCAGGCGGUCCGCUAAGACAGAUGUGAAAUCCCCGGGCUUAACCUGGGAACUGCAUUUGUGACUGGCGGGCUAGAGUAUGGCAGAGGGGGGUAGAAUUCCACGUGUAGCAGUGAAAUGCGUAGAGAUGUGGAGGAAUACCGAUGGCGAAGGCAGCCCCCUGGGCCAAUACUGACGCUCAUGCACGAAAGCGUGG